ACUCAAAUGAAUUGACGGGGACCCGCACAAGCAGAGGAGGAUGUGGUUUAAUAUGACGCUACGCGUAGAACCUUACCGAGGCUUGACAUCCCUAGAACCCGCUGGAAACAGUGGGGUGUCUUCGGAAGCUAGGUGACAGGUGCUGCAUGGCCGUCGUCAGCUCGUGUCGUGAGAUGUUGGGUUAAGUCCCGCAACGAGCGCAACCCUUAUCGUAUGUUGUAUUUCUCAUGCGAGACUGCCCGGGCCAACCGGGAGGAAGGUGGGGAUGACGUCAGGUCGGCAUGGCCCUUACGCCUCGGGCCACACACGUCCUACAAUGGCCGGUACAACGCGCCGCGAAGCCGCGAGGCGGAGCUAAUCGCACCAAAACCGGUCUCAGUUCGGAUUGCAGGCUGCAACUCGCCUGCAUGAAGUCGGAUUUGCUAGUAAACGUGGGUCAGCACACCGCGUUGAAUACGUUCCCGGGUCUUGCACACACCGCCCGU
This 485-nucleotide ribosomal RNA is filed under the name uncultured bacterium. Its description in RNAcentral is "partial 16S ribosomal RNA". It matches the Rfam family "Bacterial small subunit ribosomal RNA", at positions 899 to 1397 of the family's 1533-position model. The record is from RNAcentral.